GCUCGUGUUUUGCUCCCAUCAAGUGCCGUGCUCGCCAAAGGUGCUGCACCCUUCCCAGGAAACCACUGACCAAUCAUUCGCCGGCGCGCUCCGCCCCGAUCCGUUCAUCGCCGGCGCGCUCCGCCUCAACCCGUCCUUGUUUCUUCCCCAACAUAGAACAAUUCCUGGACCGUAGCCUCCCCACCGCCGGCCUCGUCGCUGGUCAACGGACACCGCCGCCGCGCUUGCGCCGGGUGGUGCUGCGGGCUGCUUCCGUAGUCUCCCCACCGCUGGCCGCGUCGCUGGCCAGCGGACGCCGCCGCCACGCUUGCACCGGGUGGUGCUGCGAGAUUCUUCCGCUUCUGCCGUCGCGGAGGAGUCCUCGCGGCCGCGGCCGCGCGGGGGCGGCUGGAGUCGCUGAGCUGGGUGGCCGGGGUGCUUGGCACGCAGAGUGGGGGACGAGGGAAAGGGCAAGCUCGUCGACAUCCUCGCCUAGCGAUUCGAUGUCGUCGCCCGGUGCCAGGUCUAUCUCUCUCGUGCGCGGGCGCUCUGCUAUUUAAUGCGUCCUUUCCCUCUAGUCCGGAUGGUGUUCGAUGAAUUGCUCCCGUCUUGCGGGGAUGGCGAUGAUUCCAACUUUGAGGGCUAUGCGUUUCGUCGUCAUUUUAUCAUGGGUUCUUUCUGUUGCCCAUGUCAAACAUGGAGGCUCGUUCGGUUUUCUGGGUGUCAUCUUGAAAUACUCUGAAUUUUUAUGCGCACAGGAGCCUGUAAGAAAGGGCAAGACAGAUUUCCAUAAGCAUCCAGUGAAUAAAGCUAAUUUAUUGAAAUGCUCCGAGGUUGAUCUGCACUGGUUAAAUUUGGGUCAAAUUGCUUCUAUUGGCCUCAUCUCCGGCACGAGUCCGAGCCUCCGUUUUCGCCAUUGGGAAGAAUCCUACCACUUGCAGCCGCUCCCUGUGGCAUCGUUCUUGCGCCUGCCGGUCCAGGUCCUCGUGGGGCUGCAGGAGAGCGGGCUACCGCCCACAGGUUCUGCCUCUGGAGCAGCAAUUCUUCCAUCAAUUUUGGCACCAUUUUCCUGGAAUUACCAUACUCCAUCUUCCUGGAAUUAUCAUCUUGCGUCAAAUAAAUGCUCAGCCUUCCCCUCUCUUUUCUAUUAAUUUAUUUCCAUCUUUUGACUUGAUUUUUCAGAGUUUUGUACCAGGCACACCAACUGUGCACUUCAUAUUGAUUUCUUAAGUGAUAAAAUUCUUAUUUUACGUGGUAAAAUUUAAGAUAGGAAUCUUCUGAAGCUAAGUGCAAAACUACAUGGGCGUAGACCCAGCCCCUAGGAGCCUUGCACCUCCUCGGUUUCAUUUUCUUGUAGCCGGAGAGCACUGUCUGUGUUGUUUCCCUCUAAUUCCAUCUCUAAUAAUUUAGUCUAUGGGAUUAAUUAUUUUUCAUACCAUGUGGUAAGUGGGCUAACUGGUUAAUAUCGGUGCAUGAAGUGUGAAGUUUUGUCUCAGUUUACUCUUCACUUUGAAGAGGGCACCCAUAAGAUAUGCGCCAAGCACCAUUCAUGCCAAUGAACAGGCUCUUCUUGUUUGGGUGGUUGGCUCUUUUUAUAAAUUGUACGCAGAUACCUAAGUACUUCCAUUCUCAUGUUUUGAUUUGGAGAAAAAACAAAAUUGUCAUUCUAAUGUUGCCUGUUAACAACACCGUUUCUUUUUUUGGAGCGGCACUUUUGUUUUCCAUGGCGCAUAUUGAUAUUUUUAAUUUGAUUUUCUACCUCUGUCAAUAUUGGGGCAUAAUGAAGAUGGACAGGUAACUUGUUUUCUCAAAAUGAGGGAAGAGAGAGAGACUUGCUGAUGAGCUUUAUAUGAAACUGAGCUAGUUAAUUAGUUAUCUUUGUUCAUGAGUUAGGUGAUUAGCUAUCUUCAAAUAAUAGAAGUUUGCAGUUUUGAGGUGCUCCAUCGUUUGUUCAUGCAUACGGUCUGUGAAAGCACCAUUUCUUAUGUGAUGUGCACACACACCUAGCGUUCAGUAUGUUAACUACUACUGAUCUUGGUGGAAGAUGUAUAUUUUGUACUUAAUUUUUUAGGAAAGGCAAGAAGUGCAGAAUGAAGAUGAUGAUUUUUUAGGAAAGGUAGCCAAGUCAUUACUUUUGCAAGUCUGUGGAAAAGAAGGGGAGGAGGCUCCUGUGUCCGCUGAACAAGAGUCGAUCCAGCGCCUUGCGCCUCCUCGAUCUGGUGCUGUCCGCGCCCCUCCAUCCUAGUCUAAUUGUACUAUUCGAGUAGGAAUAGAAACCGGCUCACAACUUCCUGCCCGUCACAACCACAACAAAAGGGCGACUAGAAACAAGCAGCAGGGUCCAGUAUCAAAGGAACCAGCUGUUGCACCUAGGCGUUGUAAAAAGAAAACGGCACACAUUAGUUCUAAAAAGAAAUACACUUUCAGGCAAUAGUUCUGUUUUUUAUCCUAGGAUCUAUAGAUAAUUAUAUAUGACCAUGGCCUAACAGACAAUGAAAAUGAGUGAUUUAUCUGCUAUAAGUUCAUAAGACAACUGGAUAUCUGAGAAUCUUUGUUGCCGUCGCCUGGAACCAUUGCACCUUUUGCUCACGCACCAUUCCCUAACACGCGUGGCUCUUUUUAUAAAUCAUAUCCAAGUAUGCAAUAUCCAUAAUUAAGCAGAUUGUUUCAAAGUAUCCAAAUCAGUAAGCCGAGCAAACAGGCUAUUUCUUCAUGUGCAAAAUUUGGAGUACUAGUAAGCUGCCAAAUAUGAUUACGUGCUAUUGCUUCACUCUAUUUCUAGUUGAUUUAUUUUUGGAAGUACAGAAGCUUCAAGUUUGGAGGGCCGAAUUUCUAAUGAGGAGGGAACAGAACUGCUGCGUUUAGCUCCAAGUUUCCUGCAUUAUGAACGACGAGAAUGGCCUAAUGUAAGAACUUUGGUUCUUGCGUUGGUAUCUGUUCAGAAGGAUGUCAAGUCUCCAUCUUACAAUCUGAUGGAUAAACCCCAUGAUGGUGCAUUUACCUCAUCAUCUCUAGCCAGUUGACUCUAGAAUUCCACAUAUUGCAGUAAGGACCUUACUGCAAUAUGUGGAAUUCUAGAGUCAACUGGCUAGAGAUGAUGAGGGAACUGCAAAUGAGGGUGGUUCUAAGAUCCGUGAAGCUUAUCUCAUAUUCCGACUUAUUUGCGGAUGCUGAAACUGUAUUCGCGGCUCAACACCUGCAUCCCAUGGAUUUGCCUUCUCUGAACUUGUAUUCAAUGCACCGGACAGAAAUAAACUGAGCACCGUUUCACCUUCAGAGUAGGCACGGCUAAAUUUGAUGGGCUUUUUUCUUUGCUUCUCUAAUGUUAGUGAUUAGUGGAGCAUAGAUGAAGUGAAUAUAGUGUUGUUCUUGAUUGGUUUUCUCAUAAAUGUGGAGCAUGUGCAAUUUUAUGGCACUGAUUUGGUUUAUGGCACCGUCGGGGAAUGAACUGAGCACGGUUUGUGAUUCAGACAGGCCCCUUUCAUUUAUUUGUGGCUACUAAAUUCGAUUUUUUUUUUUUUUGCUUCUCUCCUAUUUGUGAUAAGAGAUAGGGAUAGUGGAGACUAUAAGAACAAUCCAAGUCUGUGUUCGUCAUUUGAUUCUCUGGUAAAUGAAUCAUAACUUCUAUUUUCUGCAUAAGCAUUUGGAGGGCUCCGUUGCACAUAUUUUCCAGCAUAUGUUCCCUGGCAUAAAAAAGUGAGUUAAAAAAUGGACUUAUGUAAGUGACGACCAUGCAUGUAUUGAGCAGAUGGCAGAUAAAAGACUAGAAAAGCCUCUCGUGACCGGGUUUGAUGGGAAAAAGGGUUCAAUGCAUCAAUGCAUAGUGCACGGUGGAAGAAAACGAGGCACUAAAUGAGAAGUUUCCGUUACGGUUAUGAGAGAGAAGAAGAGGUCCGGCACGGGGAUGGAACCUAACAUAAAUUGGCUCAAACUCAUCACGUGAUUCGAAAAAGGUGGUCACAUGUGACCAAAGAGGUGGUCACAUGUCUCGAAAGAUGUGAAAAGCUGAAUCCUAUAGGCUAGAGUAGGCCAGGCUAGGUUGCCUAAAAUGAUACAUGUGUAAGAGUAAAGGUACCGGUCCCCCUUGCUAUUUUGAAUUAUGGGUGUGUAGAAACCAAACAAAGUGGAUCCUUUUAGGUAAAAAGUGCGGAUCUCAAUGCGAAUGAGUGGUUCCGAUUACACCCUCCACUACUUACAAACAUAUAUAUAUGUUGCAACCAGUCAUCAAAUGAUCAUGGCAAAAGUUCAAGUCCAAUUUCUUUUAGAUUCUCAGUUAUAUUUUUCUAAAUUCAAGUUUCUGUCCUCUGAAUUUCCCUUCUAUGUUAUUGUUACUUGCAGGACUUGUCAUAACCAUUAGAAGCCGACACUCAUACACAAAAGUCUAGCUCACUUGGCGAGAAGAGACAAACCAAGGUUCUUAUUGCUUAGAGAAGAAGAGAGAGGAACCGUGGAAAGGCCUAGCACAACCUGGCGCAUGAGCAACAUAAUGAACGGGUGGAAAAAAGCCUAACAAUACUUGGUGCACGGGCGUGAAAAACCUAGCAAUACAAACUGAAGCCCGCUAGAGGUGUAGGUGCUUCGGCCUGUGCAACUUUUGCGGUACGAGGGAGGCAUGCAAUUUGCGCUGAUAUAUAUCAGUUGGGAGGGAAAAAAUGUGACUGUUCCCUAAUUUUAAAACAGCUAGCUGUUAGAUAGGCACUCCAAAUUCUUAGUUGAUAGAGUAAGAUUCCUGGAAAUGUACCUUAUUUUGCAAAGUAUUGAAACUAUGGAAAAU
Lolium perenne is the source of this 4753-nucleotide non-coding RNA. The record is from RefSeq and is a predicted model, not a curated record. Lineage: Eukaryota; Viridiplantae; Streptophyta; Magnoliopsida; Poales; Poaceae.